This 498-nucleotide ribosomal RNA is filed under the name uncultured bacterium. RNAcentral's name for it is "partial 16S ribosomal RNA". It matches the Rfam family "Bacterial small subunit ribosomal RNA", at positions 29 to 523 of the family's 1533-position model. The record is from RNAcentral.
AUUGAACGCUGGCGGCAUGCCUUACACACGCAAGUCGAACGGUAACAGGCCUUCGGGUGCCGACGAGUGGCGAACGGGUGAGUAAUGCAUCGGAACGUACCCAUCAGUGGGGGAUAACUCUCCGAAAGGAGGGCUAAUACCGCAUAUUCUGUGCGCAGGAAAGCGGGGGACCGCAAGGCCUCGCGCUGAUGGAGCGGCCGAUGCCAGAUUAGCUAGUUGGUGGGGUAAAGGCCUACCAAGGCGACGAUCUGUAGCGGGUCUGAGAGGAUGAUCCGCCACACUGGGACUGAGACACGGCCCAGACUCCUACGGGAGGCAGCAGUGGGGAAUUUUGGACAAUGGGGGCAACCCUGAUCCAGCCAUGCCGCGUGAGUGAAGAAGGCCUUCGGGUUGUAAAGCUCUUUCGGCCGGGAAGAAAUCGCAUCUCCUAAUACGGGGUGUGGAUGACGGUACCGGAAUAAGAAGCACCGGCUAACUACGUGCCAGCCGCCGCAGUAA